Long non-coding RNA from Neopsephotus bourkii (Bourke's parrot), 331 nucleotides. RefSeq lists it as uncharacterized. The record is from RefSeq and is a predicted model, not a curated record. The transcript has 2 exons. NCBI's taxonomy places the organism in Eukaryota, Metazoa, Chordata, Aves, Psittaciformes, Psittacidae.
CUGGAAGCCACUCUGGCGUGAGAAGAAGGCUGGGAACUCCCUUGACUCUCCAAAGGCAGCCACACAAACUCCCUGUGUCUCCUGCAGCAGUGGAGGCAAGACCAUCAGAUAGGACCACAUUUGAGCUUGCCAGUAAAAUACCACUUUACAUGAUCUUUUCAGGAAGUUUAAGAGCCACCUGGCUUGAAGCUGAGGAGCAUUACACUAUAGCUGUAGAGAAAACACUACAACAGAAAGUCUGCAAACCAUACCUGGCUGAGGACAAAAGGAAGAUCUCUCCGAGACGCUUUAGUUACGUUUUUACUGCUUGCCAAGAACUCAAGUUCCUCAU